Molecule: long non-coding RNA, 234 nt
Filed under: Amphimedon queenslandica
Lineage: Eukaryota; Metazoa; Porifera; Demospongiae; Haplosclerida; Niphatidae
Description: uncharacterized LOC109586947
Source: RNAcentral
ACACAGCCAAGAAAUUACAUUAUGAUACUGAGCUGUAAAGUUAACAUUAAUGUAACUUUAAUGAUUACAGUCCUGAUUCACUCAUGAUUUAACCCCGGUCUGAUACGUUGCUGUAUACAAAAAAGAUACUUAAUGUAAUACUACACUAAUGAAUCUUCAUCAGUAUGAUACAGAGUAUGGCUGCCAGUCACAUGGAGAGAAUCGGGAUUGCUUUUUUUACUUUUCUAAGGCCUA